GGGUUCGCGUGCUCUUCUGAGCUGUGGUCGUCAUGGACCGGAAGCGUGUGCGGCGCGCCUGCCUUGAGGCCAGCAUCAGGGAAGGGUGUCCCAGGUGCAGGCGAAGCUUCCUUCAGGUGCUCCUGGAGGACUUUUGGCUCGCAAGCGCUUCUCCAUUCUCCCAACGUCUCGGGCCUGAUGUUAUCAUCUCCCUAUCCUUGGCUGCACCUGAAAAGAGCAGGAGCCGGCAGGUAACCCGAUCGCCUCCCCCAGGUGAGUCUCCGAUGGAGGUGUCAACUACAAGACCAGGAGCAGAGCAGUCCUGGGGCUUUGCUGGAACCAUUGGCGUGGGAAUGCUGUCUCUUCCCUCGCCCGAGAGACGCCAGAUUCCCAGCGGGCAGCGGACUCGGUUCUAACCUUCCUCGCCCCAGCCUCUAGGAGCGCUCUGCACGCAGUGGGCGUCUAAUAAAUGCAGUCGGCC
Molecule: long non-coding RNA, 460 nt
Organism: Homo sapiens (human)
Lineage: Eukaryota; Metazoa; Chordata; Mammalia; Primates; Hominidae
Source: Ensembl